This 206-nucleotide ribosomal RNA is filed under the name uncultured bacterium. RNAcentral's name for it is "partial 16S ribosomal RNA". It matches the Rfam family "Bacterial small subunit ribosomal RNA", at positions 328 to 538 of the family's 1533-position model. The record is from RNAcentral.
ACGCUCGACACCUACGGGAGCAGCAGUGGGGAAUAUUGGGCAAUGGGCGAAAGCCUGACCCAGCAACGCCGCGUGAGGGAAGAAGGUUUUCGGAUUGUAAACCUCUGUCCUCAGGGACGAAGGACGUGACGGUACCUGAGGAGGGAAGCCCCCGGCUAACUACGUGCCAGCAGCCGCGGUAAUCUGAGGCGGGCGUGGACGAAGGC